Molecule: transfer RNA, 90 nt
Filed under: Dreissena polymorpha
Lineage: Eukaryota; Metazoa; Mollusca; Bivalvia; Myida; Dreissenidae
Rfam family: tRNA
About the family: Transfer RNA (tRNA) molecules are approximately 80 nucleotides in length. Their secondary structure includes four short double-helical elements and three loops (D, anti-codon, and T loops). Further hydrogen bonds mediate the characteristic L-shaped molecular structure. tRNAs have two regions of fundamental functional importance: the anti-codon, which is responsible for specific mRNA codon recognition, and the 3' end, to which the tRNAs corresponding amino acid is attached (by aminoacyl-tRNA synthetases). tRNAs cope with the degeneracy of the genetic code in two manners: having more than one tRNA (with a specific anti-codon) for a particular amino acid; and 'wobble' base-pairing, i.e. permitting non-standard base-pairing at the 3rd anti-codon position.
Source: Rfam by way of RNAcentral
GCCGGAAUAGCUCAGUUAGGAGAGCGUUUGACUGAAAUUGUUUACGCAACAAUCAUCUAAAGGCCCCCAGUUCAAUCCUGGGUUCUGGCA